AACGAACGCUGGCGGCGUGGAUAAGACAUGCAAGUCGAACGCUGAUUUCAGGGUAGCAAUAUUCUGGAGUCGGAGUGGCGCAAGGGUGCGUAACACGUGGGUAAUUUGCCAUGAAGCCCGGAAUAACUCGCUGAAAGGCGAGCUAAUACCGGAUGUGAUCUUCGGGAGGCAUCUCCUGAACCUCAAAGCUGGGGACCGUAAGGCCUGGCACUUCUUGAUAAGCCCGCGGCCUAUCAGCUAGUUGGUGAGGUAACGGCUCACCAAGGCUAAGACGGGUAGCUGGUCUGAGAGGACGACCAGUCACACUGGAACUGAGACACGGUCCAGACACCUACGGGUGGCAGCAGUCGAGAAUUUUUCUCAAU
RNAcentral lists this ribosomal RNA (365 nucleotides) under uncultured bacterium. Its description in RNAcentral is "bacterial SSU rRNA". It matches the Rfam family "Bacterial small subunit ribosomal RNA", at positions 29 to 372 of the family's 1533-position model. The record is from RNAcentral.